GUUGGGGGAAUGUUUUAACCCAGAUAGCUAUGCCAUGGAGCCUAUUCGUGUAAUUAAAGACUUUGGCUCCAUGGCAAUUAAACUGUAUUCGUGUGGUCUGAGUGCCAUUCACCUAAUAAUGUGCACUCAGACCUGAGCUAUCUGGGGAUAUGUAAUAAAUGUUACUUUAUGUAUUUUAAAGUAUAAUACUGGUUUUGUGUCCCCACGUGUGUAAUGGAGUUUUUGCCUUUGUUUUGGGAGAUAAUUGAAUUACUUCUCAAUUAUCUCCCAGGGCAGAGGGGAGGAAGCCAGGAUGCAUUGUGGGAAUAUACUAUUUGUCUACUUGUCUGUCCCUUGUCACAUUCUCCCAUUUGGUCCCCUAGGGGAGUGUCCACCAGGUGGGAGACCUGCAUAAAUACUGGGCAGGUAGCCCCCAUUAAACAGACCCUGGCCCUUUAAAUGCUCUGGGUAAAGAUCUGUACUUUUGUUAUGGCACUUCGGAUGCAGUCAAAGUGGUCGCCAUUCGACAAACAAACACGUGGUGGCGGCGGCCAUUUUAAUUUAGAUCAAAAUGGGACUUCCAGCUAACUCCCGAACGGCUGAACGUAUUCGAAG
Non-coding RNA from Pelobates cultripes (western spadefoot toad), 594 nucleotides. Lineage: Eukaryota; Metazoa; Chordata; Amphibia; Anura; Pelobatidae. The record is from the annotation of a GenBank genome assembly.